UACGUAGGGGGCAAGCGUUGUCCGGAUUUAUUGGGCGUAAAGAGCGUGUAGGCGGUCAGGUAGGUCCGUUGUGAAAACUCGAGGCUCAACCUCGAGACGCCGAUGGAAACCAUCUGACUAGAGUCCGGAAGAGGAGAGUGGAAUUCCUGGUGUAGCGGUGAAAUGCGCAGAUAUCAGGAGGAACACCGAUGGCGAAGGCAGCUCGCUGGGACGGUACUGACGCUGAGACGCGAAAGCGUGGGAGCAAACAGG
This 252-nucleotide ribosomal RNA is filed under the name uncultured bacterium. Its description in RNAcentral is "partial 16S ribosomal RNA". It matches the Rfam family "Bacterial small subunit ribosomal RNA", at positions 524 to 776 of the family's 1533-position model. The record is from RNAcentral.